UACGUAGGGGGCAAGCGUUGUCCGGAUUUAUUGGGCGUAAAGAGCGUGUAGGCGGUCAGGUAGGUCCGUUGUGAAAACUCGAGGCUCAACCUCGAGACGCCGAUGGAAACCAUCUGACUAGAGUCCGGAAGAGGAGAGUGGAAUUCCUGGUGUAGCGGUGAAAUGCGCAGAUAUCAGGAAGAACACCCGUGGCUAAGGCGGCUCCUCUAGUACGGUACUGACGCUGAGACGCGAAAGCGUGGGGAGCGAACAGGAUAG
RNAcentral lists this ribosomal RNA (258 nucleotides) under uncultured bacterium. Its description in RNAcentral is "partial 16S ribosomal RNA". It matches the Rfam family "Bacterial small subunit ribosomal RNA", at positions 524 to 780 of the family's 1533-position model. The record is from RNAcentral.